UGUUUACACACGAGGAAACCGAAGCUCAGAGGGGUCAACGGACCCGACUCAAGGCUGCCCAGCUGGAAAAUGGCAGAGCUGCCUCUGGAACGCUGGCGUAUUGACUUCCAAAGCCCAUCCAGACUGCCUCCCAGCAGAGGAGACCUUGUCACCAUAUUGAUUACGGGGAGAGACCAAAAGCUACUGCCAUCUCCUAUCCUGAUUUCUCUCUCUCUGGCGGGGACUUGCAACAUUCGAUGACACCUACAUUGGUAUCCAGUGAACUGCGGCCACCAUUCCCUAAAGGCCUGCGGGAAACGGCCAGGGGGCCCGAGAGGUGUGACCAGGAAUCCUGCUUCUUCCCGUGGAGGAUCCAAUCCAAGACCCCACAUUCCACUUAAUUCAGAGACUUUUUAAAAUUCCUUCCUUCACUUCUAAGCACCGGAGUCUCACUGUUUACCAUCACUCCCUCCACCUACGCCUGCCCACCCCAACGUCACCAGCCCGAUCAGAAGGAAACGCAUCAUCUCAGAGCAGAAUGGAAGUUACCAAAACAGAUGACGCAGAGGAGGCAGAACUACUGAGGAUUCAAGGAAAUUUAACAAAAAGUGAAACCAGUGACAUCUUUACACAGGAAAGAUGUGCCUGUGCACACACACCCCCCACAUCAUUUACAAAAAGAACUUGGCCUAAGGUGCUGCUUCCACUAUGGAAGAGCAAAGAAAUUUAAGCAGACGCGUUUCUGUUUCUUGAGUCUCACCAGCAAGUAAGAAAUCCCCUUCAAUUUCUCUCUCUUCGAAUACCCCAACCACCCCAAGAAGG
RNAcentral lists this long non-coding RNA (801 nucleotides) under Equus asinus (donkey). Its description in RNAcentral is "lncRNA (ENSEASG00005024718.1)". The record is from RNAcentral. Lineage: Eukaryota; Metazoa; Chordata; Mammalia; Perissodactyla; Equidae.